RNAcentral lists this ribosomal RNA (442 nucleotides) under uncultured bacterium. RNAcentral describes it as "bacterial SSU rRNA". It matches the Rfam family "Bacterial small subunit ribosomal RNA", at positions 29 to 507 of the family's 1533-position model. The record is from RNAcentral.
AACGAACGCUGGCGGCAGGCUUAACACAUGCAAGUCGAACGCUCGUAGCAAUACGGGAGUGGCGGACGGGUGAGUAACGCGUGGGAACGUGCCCUGAGGUACGGAAUAACUGCGGGAAACUGCAGCUAAUACCGUAUGAGCCCCGUGAGGGGGAAAGAUUUAUCGCCUUAGGAGCGGCCCGCGUCGGAUUAGCUAGUUGGUGGGGUAACGGCUUACCAAGGCUUCGAUCCGUAGCUGGUCUGAGAGGACGAUCAGCCACACUGGGACUGAGACACGGCCCAGACUCCUACGGGAGGCAGCAGUGGGGAAUCUUGCGCAAUGGGGGCAACCCUGACGCAGCCAUGCCGCGUGAAUGAUGAAGGCCUUAGGGUUGUAAACCUCUUUCAGCAGGGAAGAAGCGAAAGUGACGGUACCUGCAGAAGAAGCACCGGCUAACUACGUG